CCUACGGGAGGCAGCAGUAGGGAAUAUUGCUCAAUGGGGGAGACCCUGAAGCAGCAACGCCGCGUGGAGGAUGAAGGUUCUAGGAUUGUAAACCCCUUUUGAUAGAGAAGAUAAUGAAGGUAUGUAACGAAUAAGCAACGGCUAACUCCGUGCCAGCAGCCGCGGUAAUACGGAGGGUGCAAGCGUUACGCGGAAUCACUGGGCGUAAAGAGUGCGUAGGCGGGUUAGCAAGUCAGAUGUGAAAUCCUAUGGCUUAACCAUAGAACUGCAUUUGAAACUGGUAUUCUAGAGUAUGGGAGAGGUAGGCGGAAUGCGUGGUGUAGCGGUAAAAUCCGUAGAGAUCAAGAGGAACACUCAUUGCGAAGGCGACCUGCUAGAACAUAACUGACGCUGAUGCGCGAAAGCGUGGGGAGCAAACAGGAUUAGAUACCCUAGUAGUC
Molecule: ribosomal RNA, 440 nt
Filed under: uncultured bacterium
Lineage: Bacteria
Description: partial 16S ribosomal RNA
Rfam family: Bacterial small subunit ribosomal RNA
Source: RNAcentral